Molecule: ribosomal RNA, 253 nt
Filed under: uncultured prokaryote
Description: partial 16S ribosomal RNA
Rfam family: Bacterial small subunit ribosomal RNA
Source: RNAcentral
UACGUAGGGGGCGAGCGUUGUCCGAAGUUACUGGGCGUAAAGAGCGCGUAGGCGGGUUGGUAAGUCUGCUGUGAAAGCCCGGAGCUUAACUCCGGAGGGUCGGUGGAUACUGCCAGUCUUGAAGGUGCUAGGGAGAGAUGGAAUUACCGGUGUAGCGGUGAAAUGCGUAGAUAUCGGGAGGAACACCUGUGGCGAAAGCGGCGCACUGGACCACAACUGACGCUGAGGCGCGAAGGCUAGGGGAGCAAACAGG